Molecule: small nucleolar RNA, 105 nt
Filed under: Erinaceus europaeus (western European hedgehog)
Lineage: Eukaryota; Metazoa; Chordata; Mammalia; Eulipotyphla; Erinaceidae
Description: Small nucleolar RNA U3 (ENSEEUG00000023575.1)
Rfam family: Small nucleolar RNA U3
About the family: Small nucleolar RNAs (snoRNAs) are involved in the processing and modification of rRNA in the nucleolus. There are two main classes of snoRNAs: the box C/D class, and the box H/ACA class.
Source: RNAcentral
AAGACAAUACUUGCAGGGAUCAUUUCUACAGUAUGUUACUAAAGAAAAACCAUGCAAGGUCAGAACUUUAAUAGUGAUAAUAUAAGGAAGUAAUUCUCUCACCUG